RNAcentral lists this ribosomal RNA (2938 nucleotides) under Priestia megaterium. Its description in RNAcentral is "bacterial LSU rRNA". It matches the Rfam family "Bacterial large subunit ribosomal RNA". Lineage: Bacteria; Bacillati; Bacillota; Bacilli; Caryophanales; Bacillaceae. The record is from RNAcentral.
AUGGUUAAGUUAGAAAGGGCGCACGGUGAAUGCCUUGGCACUAGGAGCCGAUGAAGGACGGGACUAACACCGAUAUGCUUCGGGGAGCUGUAAGUGAGCUUUGAUCCGGAGAUUUCCGAAUGGGGAAACCCACUGUUCGUAAUGGAACAGUAUCUUUAUCUGAAUACAUAGGAUAUUGAAGGCAGACCCGGGGAACUGAAACAUCUAAGUACCCGGAGGAAGAGAAAGCAAAUGCGAUUUCCUGAGUAGCGGCGAGCGAAACGGAAUUAGCCCAAACCAAGAGGCUUGCCUCUUGGGGUUGUAGGACACUCUAUACGGAGUUACAAAGGAACGAAGUAAAUGAAGCGACCUGGAAAGGUCCGUCGAAGAAGGUAACAACCCUGUAGUUGAAACUUCGUUCCUCUUGAGUGGAUCCUGAGUACGGCGGAACACGUGAAAUUCCGUCGGAAGCUGGGAGGACCAUCUCCCAAGGCUAAAUACUACCUAGUGACCGAUAGUGAACCAGUACCGUGAGGGAAAGGUGAAAAGCACCCCGGAAGGGGAGUGAAAGAGAUCCUGAAACCGUGUGCCUACAAGUAGUCAGAGCCCGUUAACGGGUGAUGGCGUGCCUUUUGUAGAAUGAACCGGCGAGUUACGAUCCCAUGCAAGGUUAAGCUGAUAAGGCGGAGCCGUAGCGAAAGCGAGUCUGAAUAGGGCGUUUAGUAUGUGGUUGUAGACCCGAAACCAGGUGAUCUACCCAUGUCCAGGGUGAAGUUCAGGUAACACUGAAUGGAGGCCCGAACCCACGCACGUUGAAAAGUGCGGGGAUGAGGUGUGGGUAGCGGAGAAAUUCCAAUCGAACCUGGAGAUAGCUGGUUCUCUCCGAAAUAGCUUUAGGGCUAGCCUCAUGUUGUGAGAGUCUUGGAGGUAGAGCACUGAUUGGACUAGGGGCCCCCAACGGGUUACCGAAUUCAGUCAAACUCCGAAUGCCAAAGACUUAUCCAUGGGAGUCAGACUGCGAGUGAUAAGAUCCGUAGUCAAAAGGGAAACAGCCCAGACCACCAGCUAAGGUCCCCAAGUAUACGUUAAGUGGAAAAGGAUGUGGAGUUGCUUAGACAACCAGGAUGUUGGCUUAGAAGCAGCCACCAUUUAAAGAGUGCGUAAUAGCUCACUGGUCGAGUGACUCUGCGCCGAAAAUGUACCGGGGCUAAACGUAUCACCGAAGCUGUGGAUUGACAUCUUAGAUGUCAGUGGUAGGAGAGCGUUCUAAGUGCUGUGAAGUCAGACCGUAAGGACUGGUGGAGCGCUUAGAAGUGAGAAUGCCGGUAUGAGUAGCGAAAGACAAGUGAGAAUCUUGUCCACCGAAUGCCUAAGGUUUCCUGAGGAAGGCUCGUCCGCUCAGGGUUAGUCGGGACCUAAGCCGAGGCUGAAAAGCGUAGGCGAUGGCCAACAGGUUGAUAUUCCUGUACCACCUCCCCGCCGUUUGAGUAAUGGGGGGACGCAGUAGGAUAGGGUAAGCGCGCUGCUGGAUAUGCGCGUUCAAGCAGUUAGGCUGAUGAGUAGGCAAAUCCGCUCAUCAUAAAGGCUGAGCUGUGAUGACGAGGGAAUUAUAGUACCGAAGUUCCUGAUUCCACACUGCCAAGAAAAGCCUCUAGCGAGGCGGGAGGUGCCCGUACCGCAAACCGACACAGGUAGGCGAGGAGAGAAUCCUAAGGUGAUCGAGAGAACUCUCGUUAAGGAACUCGGCAAAAUGACCCCGUAACUUCGGGAGAAGGGGUGCUCUGGUAGGGUGUAUAGCCCGAGAGAGCCGCAGUGAAUAGGCCCAGGCGACUGUUUAGCAAAAACACAGGUCUCUGCGAAGCCGCAAGGCGAAGUAUAGGGGCUGACGCCUGCCCGGUGCUGGAAGGUUAAGAGGAGGGGUUAUCCUUUGGGAGAAGCUCUGAAUCGAAGCCCCAGUAAACGGCGGCCGUAACUAUAACGGUCCUAAGGUAGCGAAAUUCCUUGUCGGGUAAGUUCCGACCCGCACGAAAGGCGUAACGAUCUGGGCACUGUCUCAACGAGAGACUCGGUGAAAUUAUAGUACCUGUGAAGAUGCAGGUUACCCGCGACAGGACGGAAAGACCCCGUGGAGCUUUACUGUAGCCUGAUAUUGAAUUUUGGUACAGCUUGUACAGGAUAGGUAGGAGCCUGAGAAGCCGGAGCGCUAGCUUCGGUGGAGGCGUCGGUGGGAUACUACCCUGGCUGUAUUGAAAUUCUAACCCGCGGCCCUGAUCGGGCCGGGAGACAGUGUCAGGUGGGCAGUUUGACUGGGGCGGUCGCCUCCUAAAAUGUAACGGAGGCGCCCAAAGGUUCCCUCAGAAUGGUUGGAAAUCAUUCGUAGAGUGUAAAGGCACAAGGGAGCUUGACUGCGAGACCUACAAGUCGAGCAGGGACGAAAGUCGGGCUUAGUGAUCCGGUGGUUCCGCAUGGAAGGGCCAUCGCUCAACGGAUAAAAGCUACCCCGGGGAUAACAGGCUUAUCUCCCCCAAGAGUCCACAUCGACGGGGAGGUUUGGCACCUCGAUGUCGGCUCAUCGCAUCCUGGGGCUGUAGUCGGUCCCAAGGGUUGGGCUGUUCGCCCAUUAAAGCGGUACGCGAGCUGGGUUCAGAACGUCGUGAGACAGUUCGGUCCCUAUCCGUCGUGGGCGUAGGAAAUUUGAGAGGAGCUGUCCUUAGUACGAGAGGACCGGGAUGGACACACCGCUGGUGUACCAGUUGUCUUGCCAAAGGCAUCGCUGGGUAGCUAUGUGUGGACGGGAUAAGUGCUGAAAGCAUCUAAGCAUGAAGCCCCCCUCAAGAUGAGAUUUCCCAUAGCGCAAGCUAGUAAGAUCCCUGAAAGAUGAUCAGGUUGAUAGGUCAGAGGUGGAAGCGUGGCGACAUGUGUAGCUGACUGAUACUAAUCGAUCGAGGACUUAACCAAA